CCUACGGGUGGCAGCAGUGGGGAAUAUUGGACAAUGGGCGAAAGCCUGAUCCAGCCAUGCCGCGUGUGUGAAGAAGGCCUUCGGGUUGUAAAGCACUUUCAGUGGGGAAGAAAGCCUUGGGGCUAAUACCCUCGAGGAAGGACAUCACCCACAGAAGAAGCACCGGCUAACUCCGUGCCAGCAGCCGCGGUAAUACGGAGGGUGCGAGCGUUAAUCGGAAUUACUGGGCGUAAAGCGCGCGUAGGCGGUCUGAUAAGCCGGUUGUGAAAGCCCCGGGUCAACCUGGGAACGGCAUCCGGAACUGUCAGGCUAGAGUGUAGGCGAGGAAGGUAGAAUUCCCGGUGUAGCGGUGAAAUGCGUAGAGAUCGGGAGGAAUACCAGUGGCGAAGGCGGCCUUCUGGACUGACACUGACGCUGAGGUGCGAAAGCGUGGGUAGCAAACAGGAUUAGAUACCCUGGUAGUC
Molecule: ribosomal RNA, 464 nt
Filed under: Vreelandella stevensii
Lineage: Bacteria; Pseudomonadati; Pseudomonadota; Gammaproteobacteria; Oceanospirillales; Halomonadaceae
Description: partial 16S ribosomal RNA
Rfam family: Bacterial small subunit ribosomal RNA
Source: RNAcentral